The sequence is a regulatory RNA element, 92 nucleotides long. It matches the Rfam family "Rhodo-rpoB RNA". The record is from Rfam.
AGGUCGGGAGGCGUCCGGUGGGACGGGCGCCACGCAUAGACCGGAACCCCCGCUCUCAAUGGGCGACGUGCCGCGGCCCCGGUGGCGCGACG